Molecule: ribosomal RNA, 393 nt
Filed under: uncultured bacterium
Lineage: Bacteria
Description: partial 16S ribosomal RNA
Rfam family: Bacterial small subunit ribosomal RNA
Source: RNAcentral
AUACGGAGGAUGCAAGCGUUAUCCGGAUUUAUAGGGUUUAAAGGGUGCGUAGGCUGUUCGGAAAGUCAGGGGUGAAAGCCCGGCGCCUAACGCCGGAACUGCCUUUGAUACUUCCGAGCUGGAAUACGGAUGCCGUGGGAGGAAUGAGUAGUGUAGCGGUGAAAUGCAUAGAUAUUACUCAGAACACCGAUUGCGAAGGCAUCUCACGAAUCCGUCAUUGACGCUGAGGCACGAAAGCGUGGGGAUCAAACAGGAUUAGAUACCCUGGUAGUCCACGCAGUAAACGAUGAUGACUAACCGUCGGCGAUACACAGUCGGUGGCCAAGCGAAAGCGAUAAGUCAUCCACCUGGGGAGUACGUUCGCAAGAAUGAAACUCAAAGGAAUUGACGGGG